Molecule: ribosomal RNA, 253 nt
Filed under: uncultured bacterium
Lineage: Bacteria
Description: partial 16S ribosomal RNA
Rfam family: Bacterial small subunit ribosomal RNA
Source: RNAcentral
UACGGAGGGUGCGAGCGUUAAUCGGAAUAACUGGGCGUAAAGGGCACGCAGGCGGGCUUUUAAGUUAGAUGUGAAAUCCCCGGGCUUAACCUGAGAAUAGCAUUUCAGACUGGGAGUCUUGAGUACUUUAGGGAGGGGUAGAAUUCCACGUGUAGCGGUGAAAUGCGUAGAGAUGUGGAGGAAUACCGAUGGCGAAGGCAGCCCCUUGGGAAUUUACUGACGCUCAUGUACGAAAGCGUGGGGAGCAAACGGG